This 460-nucleotide ribosomal RNA is filed under the name uncultured bacterium. RNAcentral's name for it is "partial 16S ribosomal RNA". It matches the Rfam family "Bacterial small subunit ribosomal RNA", at positions 338 to 795 of the family's 1533-position model. The record is from RNAcentral.
CCUACGGGAGGCAGCAGUGAGGAAUAUUGGUCAAUGGACGCAAGUCUGAACCAGCCAUGCCGCGUGCAGGAAGACGGCUCUAUGAGUUGUAAACUGCUUUUGUACGAGGGUAAACGCAGAUACGCGUACCUGUCUGCAAGUAUCGUACGAAUAAGGAUCGGCUAACUCCGUGCCAGCAGCCGCGGUAAUACGGAGGAUUCAAGCGUUAUCCGGAUUUAUUGGGUUUAAAGGGUGCGUAGGCGGUCGGAUAAGUUAGAGGUGAAAGCCCGAGGCUCAACUUCGGAAUUGCCGCUGAUACUGUUCGGAUAGAGAGUAGAUGCGGUAGGCGGAAUGUAUGGUGUAGCGGUGAAAUGCUUAGAGAUCAUACAGAACACCGAUUGCGAAGGCAGCUUACCAAGGUACAUCUGACGUUGAGGCACGAAAGCGUGGGGAGCAAACAGGAUUAGAUACCCGUGUAGUC